UAGCUACUUGUUCCCUCCACGGCUCCACCUCUCUCUUUAUUUACCAACUCCUACAAGAAUUCCUUGCCAUGAUUGGUCUCUGGCAAUUUAAAGAACACUAGAUUUUGGUUUCAAAAUCAAUAUGAAGUGGUCCUCAAAAGAUUUUCUAAGAGAAUCCUUUCCAGGAAUUGAGAACUUCAUGAAAGACUUCAGCUAUCAGAUCCCUGUCUGCACAUUGCAAGAAGGAAUUGAAAUCAUCUCGAAUAUCAAAUAUCUUACCGAACUUCACAAGAUACCGCAGGCAGCUGGUCUUCAGUUUCGGCAAUUGAUACAAGGAUGCGCUUUGUAGCCUCUCAAGUACAUUCUUUGUGUCUAUAUCUUCCAGAAGACUGUCAUGACAUGCCUCUUUCAGGUCAGCAAUAUCAUACUUAUCAGCUGCACUGAGAAGUGCCAAACGGUGGACAAGAAAUUCUUCACUCUGGAUGUUCCCAUAUAUGUAAUUGAGAAAAGCCUGACAAGCUUCAAUUGACAUGUCGGAGAUAUUUAUGGUUGACAGUUCCUUUUCUUUCAGGUCAUGAGCAAACAUGCUGUGGAAAACAGGCGAUCUUGCAGCAAGAACAGCACGGUGGGCUCCAAUGCUUCCAUCAGAAACAAUAAUUUUGAUAUCCGUGUGGAUGCUUUCUGUUAACAUUCUACCAAGUGACACAAGAGCUGUUGCAUUUGCUCGCUUUUCUGUGGUUUCUUCGUCCCAGAUCGAGCAAGGUUCUCCACCCUGUAUAUUUAAUGACAUAUAGCAGCUUUUAAAAUAAAGGCCAGCCAAUAUAGAAACAUACCCCUGGAGAUGCUGCCUUCAAAUCAAGGAAUUCAACGUCGAUAAUGAAUUUCCCUGUUGUUAAAGGAACAUCAAUUGCCCAGACGAAAUCCUCGUUGUUCUUGAGCUGCUUAUCUGUUACCUCUGCAGGAAUACAUUUAAAAUAAAACUGAGAAAGUAACAUGAAGUUGAGCAUUUUGUCAGAAAAUACCAAAACACACAAGAAACUGCCUUAUCCUCAGCGGCAAAACAUACAUAUGCAUAGGAUAGUAUGCUCCCAGUGCACUAAUUACCAUAUCAUUUGCAGAUUCAAGUUAUGGUUUAUCACAGUUACGAUCAUAUUUUUCAUUUGCUUAUCCAUUUCACCAAUUCAUAAAUAAUGUAUUGGUAGGUAGAUCACAACUUAGAACAUUCGAUCGAGGGUAUAGAUCAUCUACGUCAUUCACUCCGCAGCUCAUGAACUUUGUAAUGGUUUGUAGAUCACAACUUAGAAUUCAAAUCAAGGGUCAGAAGUAUGAAAUUCAAGAUGGUUAACUGCACGUGUUCCAUCUUUAUUGGAGAAAAACAAGUUAUAAACAGAAAAGUAUCUAAAAACUGAAGAUAGAGUUUGAAUUUAUUACCUGGAUGAGUCAAAGCCUUGCGAUCUCCAGCAGAAGAAACAACUCGAAUAAUAAAUGAAGCAAUUGGAGGAUUUUCCCGCGUUAGAUUCGAUAUCUCUGGAUACAACUUAACAAAUAAUACCCGGUUCUUCUCCACAGAUAGAUGCCUUCAAUCCAAAAAGAUUGUUAAACUCAGCUGAUAUAGCAAGAUCACAGAAAAUAAUGGCCAAAAAAGAAAUUCACAGUGCACUAAUAAAUCAUAGCUAUCUUACUUUCUCUUUCUUACCAGCAAAAUUUAUAGGCAACCAAACAAAGGAUCAUCAAUGUACUGAAACAUGUGCCUACCCUGUCUCUGCCAUUGACCAUACUCCUGGUCUCUAUCCUAUCCAAAGCUAAAGUCUCACCAUUCCACAUGGAUUGAAAAACCCCAAAAUCCCACUUCAAAAUUACCCAUUUCUAGGACACUCAGAUCAUAAAUUCCCACUUACAGAGAAAAACAACAGCAACAGCAAAAGAACUGCCAAAAAGAUCCUAAAUUUCCAGUGAAAGAAACCAGCUUUACGAAAAUCAAGAGAACAACAAUCACACAAGACUCUAGGGCAAAUUCUAUCUUCUUGAAACAGAACAAGAAACUAAACAAUCUACUGUAGGGAAUCAACCCAUGGAUGCAGAAAAGGAAAACAAGAAAGUACUAACCAAUUCCACUUGCCAAUCUUGAAAGGAUCUGAUUUCCGAUAAGUACAAGAAGCAAGAUUGUCUAUCUUCCAUUGAGCAAGACGAGAAGUGGUUUCAACUCUAUAAGCAGAAGAAUCUGUCAUCCUAGCAAAAGCAAGAGCCACUGUAAUUUCAUGGAUACAAUCAAAUAUCCUCCCAUCAAGAAAAUAUUCCCCUGCCUUUCCCAGGAUUACUACUUCUACAAAAAUCUUCUUUUUCUUUACUAGAACUACAAUUAUCUUGACCACUCCUCGUAAACAUAACCAUAAAAAAGCAAAAGAAAAAGGACACGAACAAUGAUAACAGUCACAGUCACAGUCACAGUCAGAAACCUAUCUUUCCUGUUCAAAUCCUUUAUACUACACUCUACUUUCACCUUGCACUUGAUAUGAGGUGAUCAUAUCUUCAUUAAAGAAAACAUAUAAAGAAAGUUAGAAAUUGGGGUGGUGUUCUUGGUUCUUGGUUUAGUUGCUUUUCAAUGAUUUCGGACACGCAAGGGUUUUGAUUGGUGUUGCUUUACGCCAUUGAUGGUGAAGUUUUAAUUUUUUUUUUUUCUUCUUUUGCUAAGCAGGGGGAGAGAGAGAGAGAGACAAAUUAAGAGGGGUGAUGUUUUUGUUGGCUUACACUGCACUUCAAGGGCGGGCAAGCAAGCAAGGAAGGAAGGAAGGAAGGGAGAGAGCUUGUGUUAUUUAAUGUAAAGGCUAUUAUCGUUUGGUUUGUUUUUCUUCCAUUAAGAUAUAAGAUUAAAGACAGACGACAUCCUUCUUCCUUCAAUAAAUUAUUUAUUUCAUGUGCU
Molecule: long non-coding RNA, 2899 nt
Organism: Populus trichocarpa (black cottonwood)
Lineage: Eukaryota; Viridiplantae; Streptophyta; Magnoliopsida; Malpighiales; Salicaceae
Exons: 3
Source: RefSeq, a predicted model, not a curated record